RNAcentral lists this ribosomal RNA (682 nucleotides) under uncultured bacterium. Its description in RNAcentral is "bacterial SSU rRNA". It matches the Rfam family "Bacterial small subunit ribosomal RNA", at positions 56 to 750 of the family's 1533-position model. The record is from RNAcentral.
UGCAGUCGAGCGGCCAGCAAUGGCAGCGGCGCACGGGUGAGUAACGCGUACACAAUCUGCCCUUCCCUGGGGGAAAGUCGCUGGAAACGGCGAAUAAUCCCGCAUUCGACCACUGGGCGGCAUCGCCUGGUGGUGAAAGUCCCGGCGGGGAAGGAUGAGUGUGCGUCCCAUUAGCUAGUUGGCGGGGUAACGGCCCACCAAGGCGACGAUGGGUAGGGGGCGUGAGAGCGUGGCCCCCCACACGGGUACUGAGACACGGACCCGACUCCUACGGGAGGCAGCAGUAAGGAAUAUUGGGCAAUGGGCGCAAGCCUGACCCAGCCACGCCGCGUGGAGGACGAAGGCGCCAAGCAUUGUAAACUCCUUUUGCAUGGGACGAACGUCCCGGACUUGUCCGGGGGUGACGGUACCAUGAGAAUAAGCACCGGCUAACUCCGUGCCAGCAGCCGCGGUAAUACGGAGGGUGCGAGCGUUAUCCGGAAUCACUGGGUUUAAAGGGUACGUAGGCCGGCCCAUAAGUCAGGGGUGAAAGGCCGCGGCUCAACCGCGGGACUGCCCUUGAUACUGUGGGCCUUGAGUUCGGAUGAGGGCGGCGGAAUGGUACAUGUAGCGGUGAAAUGCUUAGAUAUGUACCGGAACACCGAUUGCGAAGGCAGCCGCCCGGGCCGUGAUUGACGCUGAG